GAUGAAGAACGCAGUGAAAUGCGAUAAGUAAUGCGAAUUGCAGAAUUUCCGUGAGUCAUCGAAUCUUUGAACGCACAUUGCGCCCACUGGUAUUCCGGUGGGCAUGCCUGUUCGAGCGUCAUUAUCCUCCCUCAAACCCCGGGUUUGGUGUUGGACCCAAGUUGUGUGUACAACUGGUCUUAAAGACAAUGACGGCGUCCGUGGGACCCUCGGUGCAACGAGCUUUUAGGAGCACGCAUCGAGUUGCAAGGACCUUCCGGGCCGGUCUCCUUUACUAUUUUACAAGGUUGACCUCGGAUCAGGUAGGAAUACCCGCUGAACUUAAGCAUAUCAAUAAGCGGAGGA
RNAcentral lists this unclassified non-coding RNA (345 nucleotides) under soil metagenome. Its description in RNAcentral is "partial contains 5.8S ribosomal RNA, internal transcribed spacer 2, and large subunit ribosomal RNA". The stretch from base 1 to 121 matches the Rfam family "5.8S ribosomal RNA", at positions 35 to 154 of the family's 154-position model. The record is from RNAcentral.